AUUGAACGCUGGCGGCAGGCCUAACACAUGCAAGUCGAGCGGAUGAAGGGAGCUUGCUCCUGGAUUCAGCGGCGGACGGGUGAGUAAUGCCUAGGAAUCUGCCUGGUAGUGGGGGAUAACGUCCGGAAACGGGCGCUAAUACCGCAUACGUCCUGAUGGAGAAAGUGGGGGAUCUUCGGACCUCACGCUAUCAGAUGAGCCUAGGUCGGAUUAGCUAGUUGGUGGGGUAAAGGCCUACCAAGGCGACGAUCCGUAACUGGUCUGAGAGGAUGAUCAGUCACACUGGAACUGAGACACGGUCCAGACUCCUACGGGAGGCAGCAGUGGGGAAUAUUAGACAAUGGGCGAAAGCCUGAUCCAGCCAUGCCGCGUGUGUGAAGAAGGUCUUCGGAUUGUAAAGCACUUUAAGUUGGGAGGAAGGGCAGUAAGUUAAUACCUUGCUGUUUUGACGUUACCAACAGAAUAAGCACCGGCUAACUUCGUG
This 484-nucleotide ribosomal RNA is filed under the name uncultured bacterium. RNAcentral's name for it is "partial 16S ribosomal RNA". It matches the Rfam family "Bacterial small subunit ribosomal RNA", at positions 30 to 507 of the family's 1533-position model. The record is from RNAcentral.